This 412-nucleotide ribosomal RNA is filed under the name uncultured prokaryote. Its description in RNAcentral is "bacterial SSU rRNA". It matches the Rfam family "Bacterial small subunit ribosomal RNA", at positions 505 to 918 of the family's 1533-position model. The record is from RNAcentral.
GUGCCAGCAGCCGCGGUAAUACGUAUGGGGCAAGCGGUGUUCGGAUUCACUGGGCGUAAAGGGCUUGUAGGUGGUGGAGUAAGUCGGAUGUGAAAUCCCCGGGCUUAACCCGGGAACUGCAUUCGAAACUAUUCCGCUAGAGUACCGGAGAGGGAAACGGAAUUCCUGGUGUAGGGGUGAAAUCUGUAGAUAUCAGGAAGAACACCGGUGGCGAAGGCGGUUUCCUGGCCGGAUACUGACACUGAGGAGCGAAAGCUAGGGGAGCAAACAGGAUUAGAUACCCUGGUAGUCCUAGCUGUAAACGUUGUGCACUAGGUGUGAGUGGUUUACCCACUUGUGCCGAAGCUAACGCAUUAAGUGCACCGCCUGGGGAGUAUGCUCGCAAGAGUGAAACUUAAAUGAAUUGACGGGG